AUGAUCAAAUGGUUGUCCAUACUUCUGCAUACAGCGUCCACGCGCAUCCUUGUCAAUGGCAGGCCGGGAAGAAGCAUCAUACAUGCGCAAGGUCUCAGGCAAGGUGAUCCUAUCUCCCCGCUGCUGUUUGUUAUUGCGAUGGACGCUCUCACAGCCACAGUCUCUAGAGCAUCGGAGGAGGGAGUGCUCAGUUCUUUUAGAGGCAUCUCGGCGGCUCAACGCAUCUCUAUCUAUGCCAAUGAUGUCGCGUUCUUCAUUCGCCCCACGCUCCAAGACCUUCUUUUCGUAAGGGAGGCGCUGCUUGUGUUUGGAUCGGCCUCGGGCCUGAAGGUGAACUAUGGCAAGUCGACGGCGACGGUCAUCAGAGGGAAUCAGGAAGACAAAGCUAGGGUGACCAACCUGCUGCAAUGCUCGCUGGCAGAGUUUCCUAUAAGAUAUCUUGGAUUGCAGCUGGCCACUAGACAGUUAACAAGAAAUGAGUGGCAGCCGCUGCUCGACAUGGUGAGGAAAAUGGUCCCUGGCUGGCAGAGAGGGUUUAUUCAGAGAUCGGGCAGACUGGUGUUGAUCAAGUCUGUGGUCACGGCCAGGCCUGUUCAUCAACUGCUUAUCAUGGAUGCUCCAGAUUGGGUAUUUGAAGAGAUUGAUGCAUGGGUGAGAUCUUUCUUCUAG
Molecule: ribosomal RNA, 669 nt
Filed under: Triticum aestivum (bread wheat)
Lineage: Eukaryota; Viridiplantae; Streptophyta; Magnoliopsida; Poales; Poaceae
Description: partial small subunit ribosomal RNA
Source: RNAcentral